Molecule: long non-coding RNA, 936 nt
Organism: Oncorhynchus tshawytscha (Chinook salmon)
Lineage: Eukaryota; Metazoa; Chordata; Actinopteri; Salmoniformes; Salmonidae
Source: Ensembl
CAGGCAUCCUGUUCUUUCUUGUGAACAGUCUCCGUAGAGAUGAGAGGAAUCCACCCCUUGUUUUCUUCUGAUUGGCUACAGCAGUGGAUGAAACAAUGUGGCCAUCAGCGGUAGAGGUCGACAUUUUCUCAGAAGAGUGCUCCAGGCUGGUAGCAAUAGCAUCAACUUCAUGGACCGAAGCAUUGCCACUCUCGGUUGAAAACAUAGAAAUAGUGAUGACUAGUCUACUUCUCUUGGUUGAGACAUCAGCCACAUGGACCUCAGGUUGGUUGGAGUCUCUCAGUGUGGAAUCAUCACGAUCCUUCACUCUAGCGUCACUGCUGGACAGAACCUGAGACACUAGGCCUGCAGCAGACUGGAUCAGGUCAUUCUCCACGAUGGUAACACUGGUGGACAGAACCUGAGACACUAGGCCUGCAGCAGACUGGAUCAGGUCAUUCUCCACGAUGGAAACACUGGUGGACAGAACCUGAGACACUAGGCCUGCAGCAGACUGGAUCAGUUCAUUCUCCACGAUGGCAACACUGGUGGACAGAACCUGAGACACUAGGCCUGCAGCAGACUGGAUCAGGUUGUCUUCCUCGAUGGAAACACUGGUGGACAGAACCUGAGGAGUCUGCAGGAGUGUCAGUGGCUCCCACUCAUCCAGGAAGAAGCUCUCGACAGAAGGGAAGCUUCUUCCUUUCAGAGCUGGGGGAAUGUAGGGGGUGUACCCAACAGUCCAGAGUAGAGAGCUGUCGAUGGCAUUCACGUAGUGGUACUUGUCACCAAGUACCUCUGCAAAGCUCUGAACAAUGUUCUGACUCUCUGACUCUGGACCACCAAGGGCGUUGAGUUGGGUCACCGUUGACAUCCACCCUGAAAGAAACACCAACACAGGGUUAACUAAACUGAUUUCAGCAUUACAAGCAAGGGAUAUUCUUCAUAUUCUUCAUG